UGUUAUUUUAAGGGAUGAUUAACAAAUAA
Molecule: non-coding RNA, 29 nt
Filed under: Mus musculus (house mouse)
Lineage: Eukaryota; Metazoa; Chordata; Mammalia; Rodentia; Muridae
Source: RNAcentral